GGUUCUGUAGUGUAGUGGCAAUCAUGUCUGCUUUGGGUGCAGGAGGUCACGCGUUCGACUCGCGUCAGAACCC
Molecule: transfer RNA, 73 nt
Filed under: Pseudozyma flocculosa PF-1
Lineage: Eukaryota; Fungi; Basidiomycota; Ustilaginomycetes; Ustilaginales; Ustilaginaceae
Description: tRNA-Pro (TGG) (tRNA-Pro-TGG-1-1)
Rfam family: tRNA
About the family: Transfer RNA (tRNA) molecules are approximately 80 nucleotides in length. Their secondary structure includes four short double-helical elements and three loops (D, anti-codon, and T loops). Further hydrogen bonds mediate the characteristic L-shaped molecular structure. tRNAs have two regions of fundamental functional importance: the anti-codon, which is responsible for specific mRNA codon recognition, and the 3' end, to which the tRNAs corresponding amino acid is attached (by aminoacyl-tRNA synthetases). tRNAs cope with the degeneracy of the genetic code in two manners: having more than one tRNA (with a specific anti-codon) for a particular amino acid; and 'wobble' base-pairing, i.e. permitting non-standard base-pairing at the 3rd anti-codon position.
Source: RNAcentral